UACGGAGGGUGCGAGCGUUAAUCGGAAUUACUGGGCGUAAAGGGUACGCAGGUGGUUGUAUAAGUUAGCUGUAGAAUCCCCGGGCUCAACCUGGGAAUGCCGGCUAAUACUGUAUGACUGGAGUAUGGGAGAGGGCAGUGGAAUUUCCGGUGUAGCGGUGAAAUGCGUAGAUAUCGGAAGGAACACCGGUGGCGAAGGCGGCUGCCUGGCCUAAUACUGACACUGAGGUACGAAAGCGUGGGGAGCAAAC
Molecule: ribosomal RNA, 250 nt
Filed under: uncultured bacterium
Lineage: Bacteria
Description: partial 16S ribosomal RNA
Rfam family: Bacterial small subunit ribosomal RNA
Source: RNAcentral